UACGUAGGGCGCAAGCGUUGUCCGGAAUUAUUGGGCGUAAAGAGCUCGUAGGCGGUCUGUCGCGUCGGCUGUGAAAACCUGGGGCUUAACUCCGGGCCUGCAGCCGAUACGGGCAGACUAGAGUUCGGCAGGGGAGACUGGAAUUCCUGGUGUAGCGGUGAAAUGCGCAGAUAUCAGGAGGAACACCGGUGGCGAAGGCGGGUCUCUGGGCCGAAACUGACGCUGAGGAGCGAAAGCGUGGGGAGCAAACAGG
RNAcentral lists this ribosomal RNA (253 nucleotides) under uncultured bacterium. Its description in RNAcentral is "partial 16S ribosomal RNA". It matches the Rfam family "Bacterial small subunit ribosomal RNA", at positions 524 to 776 of the family's 1533-position model. The record is from RNAcentral.